This 21-nucleotide non-coding RNA is filed under the name Caenorhabditis elegans. The record is from RNAcentral. Lineage: Eukaryota; Metazoa; Nematoda; Chromadorea; Rhabditida; Rhabditidae.
UGUGAAGUGAGUUACGAUUUA